GGGUCAGUAGGUUGGUCGUGCCACCGGUACGUUCUGGUCUCACUGAUUCCUCCUUCCUGAAGAACCGUAAUGCCAUUAAUUUGGUGUUGCGGGGAAACAGGACUGUUACUUUGAAAAAAUUUGAGUGUUUAGAGCAAGCUAACGCUUGAAUACAUUAGCAUGGAAUAAUGAAAUAGGACGAUCGAUCCUAUUUUGUUGGUUUCUAGGAUUGACGUA
RNAcentral lists this ribosomal RNA (216 nucleotides) under Glomeromycotina sp. RNAcentral's name for it is "partial small subunit ribosomal RNA". The stretch from base 40 to 216 matches the Rfam family "Eukaryotic small subunit ribosomal RNA", at positions 686 to 864 of the family's 1831-position model. Lineage: Eukaryota; Fungi; Glomeromycota. The record is from RNAcentral.